UACGUAGGUGGCAAGCGUUGUCCGGAUUUACUGGGUGUAAAGGGCGUGUAGCCGGGCUGACAAGUCAGAUGUGAAAUCCGGGGGCUCAACCCCCGAACUGCAUUUGAAACUGUUGGUCUUGAGUAUCGGAGAGGCAGGCGGAAUUCCUAGUGUAGCGGUGAAAUGCGUAGAUAUUAGGAGGGACACCAGUGGCGAAGGCGGCCUGCUGGACGACAACUGACGGUGAGGCGCGAAAGCGUGGGGAGCAAACAGG
RNAcentral lists this ribosomal RNA (253 nucleotides) under uncultured bacterium. RNAcentral's name for it is "partial 16S ribosomal RNA". It matches the Rfam family "Bacterial small subunit ribosomal RNA", at positions 524 to 776 of the family's 1533-position model. The record is from RNAcentral.